Molecule: ribosomal RNA, 164 nt
Filed under: Senecio massaicus
Lineage: Eukaryota; Viridiplantae; Streptophyta; Magnoliopsida; Asterales; Asteraceae
Description: 5.8S ribosomal RNA
Rfam family: 5.8S ribosomal RNA
About the family: 5.8S ribosomal RNA (5.8S rRNA) is a component of the large subunit of the eukaryotic ribosome. It is transcribed by RNA polymerase I as part of the 45S precursor that also contains 18S and 28S rRNA. Functionally, it is thought that 5.8S rRNA may be involved in ribosome translocation.
Source: RNAcentral
UAAACGACUCUCGGCAACGGAUAUCUCGGCUCACGCAUCGAUGAAGAACGUAGCAAAAUGCGAUACUUGGUGGGAAUUGCAGAAUCCCGUGAACCAUCGAGUUUUUGAACGCAAGUUGCGCCCGAAGCCUUUUGGCCGAGGGCACGUCUGCCUGGGCGUCACAC